GUUGGCUGUGCUGUGAGGAAGAAGGAGUCAGUACUAAGAGGAGCUGCCUAUCAGAAAUCACCAAGAAGAUGUGCCCUGUCCUGGCAAAGUGAAAUGGGCAAGGUGUCACUAGGCAGGAGAGAUGGACUUCAGAACUUGCUGCAAGGGCUCUUGCUGGCACUGCAGUACAAACAACAUUCUCAGCAGCUUGCAGCAGCUGUGAGAUUUGCAGCAAGAAAGGGUGUCACAUACUACAUCAGCUAAGUGAGGGGGAAUAAACCUCAGGCCAGCCCUGUGUGCUUCUACCCUGAGAUACUCAUACUGCAGGGAAGCCUUUUCUAGGUUCUGAAUUCAAUUUACAGAAGGAAAAGUGCCAAAUAAGAGCAAAUGUUUUAAUUAUAAAGAAACACUUUUCUUAGGUGAGACAAUUGCUAUGUUUGUGAAAUGAAUUUAAUGUGCUACACAGUCUACCAGAGUUUUUA
Molecule: long non-coding RNA, 461 nt
Organism: Passer domesticus (house sparrow)
Lineage: Eukaryota; Metazoa; Chordata; Aves; Passeriformes; Passeridae
Exons: 4
Source: RefSeq, a predicted model, not a curated record